RNAcentral lists this ribosomal RNA (557 nucleotides) under uncultured bacterium. RNAcentral's name for it is "partial 16S ribosomal RNA". It matches the Rfam family "Bacterial small subunit ribosomal RNA", at positions 355 to 905 of the family's 1533-position model. The record is from RNAcentral.
UGGGGAAUUUUGGACAAUGGGCGAAAGCCUGAUCCAGCAAUGCCGCGUGUGUGAAGAAGGCCUUCGGGUUGUAAAGCACUUUUGUCCGGAAAGAAAUCCUUGGCUCUAAUACAGUCGGGGGAUGACGGUACCGGAAGAAUAAGCACCGGCUAACUACGUGCCAGCAGCCGCGGUAAUACGUAGGGUGCAAGCGUUAAUCGGAAUUACUGGGCGUAAAGCGUGCGCAGGCGGUUUGCUAAGACCGAUGUGAAAUCCCCGGGCUCAACCUGGGAACUGCAUUGGUGACUGGCAGGCUAGAGUAUGGCAGAGGGGGGUAGAAUUCCACGUGUAGCAGUGAAAUGCGUAGAGAUGUGGAGGAAUACCGAUGGCGAAGGCAGCCCCCUGGACCAAUACUGACGCUCAUGCACGAAAGCGUGGGGAGCAAACAGGAUUAGAUACCCUGGUAGUCCACGCCCUAAACGAUGUCAACUAGUUGUUGGGGAUUCAUUUCCUUAGUAACGUAGCUAACGCGUGAAGUUGACCGCCUGGGGAGUACGGUCGCAAGAUUAAAACUCAAA